Molecule: long non-coding RNA, 393 nt
Filed under: Callithrix jacchus (white-tufted-ear marmoset)
Lineage: Eukaryota; Metazoa; Chordata; Mammalia; Primates; Cebidae
Description: lncRNA (ENSCJAG00000082783.1)
Source: RNAcentral
AUGCAAGGCCAGCUCAGUCACAAACCCUGCGUUGGCGGCAGGUGCCUUCCCUCUGCGCCCAUAUGGCCUGGAAGUGAUCGGCUCCAGCUGAACAGCUUUAUCCAGACAGUGGCUUCUGCUGACCAGCUGUUUACCCCCUUACUUGAUAUGCACUUGCCAAAGCCUGCAAGCCAGAGGACCCCACAGCUCAGUCCAAAGCAUUCAACCUUUGGCCUACUAGGAUCUCAGCCACACCCCAGAGUCCCAAAGAGAAGUGACUCAGAUUGGAAACAGUGGCUCCAAAUGACCUCAGAAAAACUCUGUCUCCCAGGCUGGAGUGCAGUGGUGAUCUCGGCUUACUGCAACCUCUGCCUUUUGGAUUCAAGUUAUUCUCCUGCCUCAGCCUCCGAGUAG